AUCCUGGCUACCUGAGGCUUUCUGAAGUGCCUGUAGAAGACAAUCCAGGCAGGAAGUAAACAAGGGACAACAGUGAAGAACCUCAGGACCACUCAUCCCAGACUCCUCUGACAUCCCCUAAACAGAGUGUGUUUCCAGAGACCAAGCUUGCUGAGCAUGGGAGGAUAGUUCUCUCCAUGAGCAUGUGUAUGUGCACUUGUCCUUGUUGACUGUACACCAAUCCUGCUAGCAAGGCACAAUCCAAUUUGCUGUUUCCUUUCAACUGGAUCAACAUCAUUGCCUCCUGCUGAAGUUAUUAGGAGGGAUCAGGUGAUGUCUGGGUUGCUGGCCAGUGGUAGUGAAGCCAGAAGCGAAGUGUGUGUGAGAACCAGGGGCAUUGAAUGUGGUUUCCUCUUGCAAAGCAGAGGACUGCUAUAUCGUAGCCAUGACAUUGGAACGAUGCUGGAACUGAAUCAGUGAAGCAUAAAUAUGCCACACUAAAAACAUACUUAAGCCAGAAGUGCUACAAGGGAACAGAGAUGGAUGGCCAACAGCAGGACAGCCAUCCAAACCUGCCUUUAAGUUAUGUCUUCUGCACGCUGAAGCAAAUGGCCCUCAACUCAGAAAAACAUGUGAAAUGAACUGGGUUCCACUGGUGCUCCCCAGGGAGCUGUGAUACUUCCAUGUAUCCUCCAGAGACAGGAAUGGUCAAUGGUUGGCACCCAGCUGGAUUCACAGUGCUGGAACACUAAAUCGGCACCAAAGAUGGACAAAAGGAAUGAGGUGGAAGAACUGUGUAUUCUGGAGGCACUCAGAGUAACAAAGCCUUUUCUUUAAAGUUAAGCAGUGGUAUACUCAGUGCAGUGGAAGCCAGCUACCCUUGCUCCCACCCCUAACCAUGAAGCCAUGGAUUCACACUUCAACUCUCCUUCCCAGCCUGUCCCAAUUAUUAUUUAAUUAUUUCAAGGGAUUGGAACAGCUCCAGGGAAUGAAGCACACAUCACUGCUCCAGCAAGCUCUAUGCUUUUGUGACCCAGAAAAUGGUUUAAAUCUAUAUGCAGAGAGAGAGAAGCGUAGUAUUGUUUCCCAUAAAUCAGUUUCCUCAGCAGUUACCCUACAGAAUAGUGAGGAAGCAUUAAUUUUGGAGGGGACAGAGCCUGGUCUUGAGAGUGUGCUCUGAGCAUAACUGCGGUCCCAGACCCACCAGGGAGCUCCAAUUUGUGCAAUGGGAUAAGGCUGAAGAACCAGCUGGGCACUGGGAAGUGUGGUCCUCUGAAAACUGUGAAGUGCUAUUGGCAGACCUUGGACUACUUGAAAAUGCUAAUGUAAAAAGACAUUUGCAGCUCUGAAUGUUGGAGACCUCCUGAACUCUGCAGAACAGGAGUUUUUCACUCUGGAGCCCCAAGCAGUGCUAAGGCAACCAGCAGCUCCAUGCAGAAGUAGAGCUGUGCACUUGCAUCUGCAAAACAGGUGUGAUGAGGUGAAAAAUGCUACGAGUGUGAAGUGCUUCAUGUUGUGGCAGUAGGAGCAACUUGAAUAACAUAGACAAGCAGAAAUAAAAAAAGGAAAAGAAC
This 1553-nucleotide long non-coding RNA is filed under the name Gallus gallus (chicken). Its description in RNAcentral is "lncRNA (ENSGALG00010027481.1)". The record is from RNAcentral. Lineage: Eukaryota; Metazoa; Chordata; Aves; Galliformes; Phasianidae.